Molecule: ribosomal RNA, 301 nt
Filed under: uncultured bacterium
Lineage: Bacteria
Description: partial 16S ribosomal RNA
Rfam family: Bacterial small subunit ribosomal RNA
Source: RNAcentral
CAGCAGCCACGGGAACACGGAGGGUGCAAGCGUUAAUCGGAAUUACUGGGCGUAAAGCGCACGCAGGCGGUUUGACAAGUCAGAUGUGAAAUCCCCGGGCUUAACCUGGGAACUGCAUUUGAAACUGUCAGGCUGGAGUCUUGUAGAGGGGGGUGGAAUUCCAGGUGUAGCGGUGAAAUGCGUAGAGAUCUGGAGGAAUACCGGUGGCGAAGGCGGCCCCCUGGACAAAGACUGACGCUCAGGUGCGAAAGCGUGGGGAGCAAACAGGAUUAGAUACCCCGGUAGUCCCUGUCUCUUAUAC